RNAcentral lists this long non-coding RNA (439 nucleotides) under Manihot esculenta (cassava). RNAcentral describes it as "long non-coding RNA (MESC_LNC001246)". The record is from RNAcentral. Lineage: Eukaryota; Viridiplantae; Streptophyta; Magnoliopsida; Malpighiales; Euphorbiaceae.
UAAAAUGCCAUGUUUUAUAUUAGGUUGUAUUGCAUUCGUUUCACGAAUUUGAUGCAUUGCAUAAGAUGAUAUUUGUAUGGAUGAAUGUUGGAUGAUCCUUAGCCCUUGAUAGAGCACAGAGUACAGAUACAGAGUUAUGGCAUGAGGUAGCCAUACCAGGUCGCUCCUGGAUAGUCCAGGUCGCUCCUGGUACUAUGAGAUAGACAGUUUGACCUGACUCGGAUAGAGAAGUCCAGGUGAGGCCAAAUCGCCCCUGGCACAGUUGGCCUUGUGAUAAAGUCAGGAAAGAGAAGUCCAGGUGAGGCCUAAUCGCCCCUGGCAAGUUGGACAUAUUGUUAUAUGUAUACAGUAAAGGGCUAUUGGUGACAAGUUCAUCCUUGAGGUGAUAUGUUUGUGAUGUGAUACAUUUCAUGAAAGCAUGUAAUUAAUGAACUGUUUA